RNAcentral lists this ribosomal RNA (914 nucleotides) under uncultured marine archaeon. RNAcentral's name for it is "bacterial SSU rRNA". It matches the Rfam family "Archaeal small subunit ribosomal RNA", at positions 1 to 921 of the family's 1478-position model. The record is from RNAcentral.
UUCCGGUUGAUCCUGCCGGAGGCUACCGCUAUUGGAGUUCGAUUAAGCCAUGCGAGUCGCGAGUCUUAGGGACUCGGCGUACCGCUCAGUAACACGUGGGUAACCUGCCCUAUGCUGGGGGAUAACCUCGGGAAACUGAGAAUAAUACCCCAUAGUUCACCACGCCUGGAACGGUGGGUGGAUCAAAGCUCCGGCGGCAUAGGAUGGGCCUGCGGCGUAUCAGGUUGUAGGGGGUGUAAUGUACCCUCUAGCCCUCUACGCGUACGGGUGUUGAGAGACAUCGCCCGGAGAUGGAUUCUGAGACACGAAUCCAGACCCCACGGGGUGCAGCAGGCGCGAAAACUUGGCAAUGCGAGAAAUCGUGACCAGGGAACUCCAAGUGCAUCGGGUAAGACCGAUGCUUUUCUUGACUCUUCAAAGGUCUUGGAAUAAGGGGUGGGUAAGGACGGUGCCAGCCGCCGCGGUAAUACCGGCGCCCCAAGUGGUAGUCGCUUUUAUUGGGCCUAAAACGUCCGUAGCCGGUCUGGUACAUUCGUGGGUAAAUCAACCAGCUCAACUGGUUGAAUUCUGCGAGCACGGCCAGACUUGGGACCGGGAGAGGUGUGGGGUACUCUCAGGGUAGGGGUAAAAUCCUGUCAUCCUGAGAGGACCACCUGUUGCGAAGGCGCCACACUAGAACGGAUCCGACGGUCAGGGACGAAGCCUAGGGGCACGAACCGGAUUAGAUACCCGGGUAGUCCUAGGUGUAAACGCUGUGGACUUGAUGUUGGGGGCGCUCCGAGCGCACUCAGUGUCGAAGCGAAGGUGAUAAGUCCACUGCCUGGGGAGUACGGUCGCAAGGCUGAAACUUAAAGGAAUUGGCGGGGGAGCACCGCAACCUGAGGAUUGUGCGGUUUAAUUGGAGUCAACGCCGG